AUGUCAUCUUAUCUUCUUUGUGUGGAUAUAAAAAGUUGCUGUCUGUUUAGUGGAGUACAUCAACGAGCAAACAGCAAAGGAUACUGAACACGUGGAAUCAGAGAGCAUCACGGUCUUCUUCAGUCACUGCAGUGAAGACAAGUCAACGCCAGACGAAAUCUCAAAGCACCUUCCCACAAUGAUGAUGAAGAUCUGUAUCAUCCUUCUUCUGUUUGUUGCGUCAGGCAAUGCACAGAUGUCAACCACAGCUGCCCCAGCAGCAACCACAGCUGCCCCAGCAGUAACAACAGCAGCCCCAGCAGCAACCACAGCUGCACCAGGAGCAACCACAGCUGCACCAGCAGCAACCACAGCUGCCCCAGCAGC
Long non-coding RNA from Siniperca chuatsi (mandarin fish), 366 nucleotides. RefSeq lists it as uncharacterized. NCBI's taxonomy places the organism in Eukaryota, Metazoa, Chordata, Actinopteri, Centrarchiformes, Sinipercidae. The record is from RefSeq and is a predicted model, not a curated record. The transcript has 3 exons.